UACGAAGGGGGCUAGCGUUGCUCGGAAUCACUGGGCGUAAAGCGCACGUAGGCGGCUUCUUAAGUCAGGGGUGAAAUCCUGGAGCUCAACUCCAGAACUGCCCUUGAUACUGAGGAGCUCGAGUCCGGAAGAGGUGAGUGGAACUGCGAGUGUAGAGGUGAAAUUCGUAGAUAUUCGGAGGAACACCAGUGGCGAAGGCGGCUCACUGGUCCAUUACUGACGCUGAGGUGCGAAAGCGUGGGGAGCAAACAGG
Molecule: ribosomal RNA, 253 nt
Filed under: uncultured bacterium
Lineage: Bacteria
Description: partial 16S ribosomal RNA
Rfam family: Bacterial small subunit ribosomal RNA
Source: RNAcentral